Pantherophis guttatus is the source of this 1285-nucleotide long non-coding RNA. RefSeq lists it as uncharacterized. The record is from RefSeq and is a predicted model, not a curated record. Lineage: Eukaryota; Metazoa; Chordata; Lepidosauria; Squamata; Colubridae.
CACAUAUUUUAAAAAAUCUUUUGAAUAUUGUUGAGAUAAUACUGUUUCCUAUAAAGCACAACAUUUAUCUCUCAUGUCAAACAUCCAGAAUUUAUAUAAAUAGUACAUAAACAAUAGUUCUAUUAUUAGAUUAGUUAGUUAUAAUUAUAUUUAUUAACAUAAUACAUUAACUAAAAAUAGUUAAAUUGGCUUUUAAAAGAUGAAAAAAAAAUGCCUUCAUUCAGUACCAAAAUGAAAGCAAUGCUUUUAGAUUGGAUAUCACCACUAAGAAGGCCAUCUUCAUUCUGACUGUCUACUGAUUUCACUUGUCAGAGGGACCUAAGUAAGACCUUGAAAAAGAAUCUCAAAUUUCAUAAAUAGGUCUGUAUGAGAAAAGUCAAUAUUUCUAUUAUCUUGGUCUCAGUCUGUUAAAAAGACUUGAAAGAUUAAAACCAACACUUUGAAUGUGCCUGGAAUAUAGGUGACUAGCUGCAGUAACAAAAAAUGUCCCAGCUUUUUCUACUGGUGACGCCAUGUUUUCCCUGUAAGGCAUGAGAUUGGUAAGUGAUGUCAUCUCCCCAUCCAUGCACCUUUUUGCGCACACAUGUGAAGAAUAUAUGGAGCAGCUUUUGAAACGGCUAUGCAAGCCAGAAAAAAAAAUUGCAGUUGCUUUAACAGUUAAAGAAGAGGGCUCUUGUUUAUGCUUCCUAACACUGUGAAGCAUCUGUUUGUAACCUUUGCACAGGCCUAUUUUCCAAUUAUUGGUGAAUAUUAUCAAUAAUAUUCAGCUAAUAUGCUACCGCACUUAUAUUAAUGAGUUAUAUAAUUCUUUAAUUGGUUCGUGUCUACAUUUCAAAUUUGUUGAAUUAAUCUAUCUCCUAUACAUAAAUCAUGUUGCUUUUCUUUAAAUUUUAGAUUUGGCAGUCUUGGAGCAUUCCAGUAAAAUAAUACUAUACUACUACCUCCUGAGCAUAAUUGCAGGCAAGCAUCCUCAGACUACUGCUUUUCAAGUAUGAAUUUCAAUUCUCAUAAUCCCAAAUCUGUAUGGUUGUUAUGAGAACUAAAGUCCAACACCUCCAGAAGCAUGAAUUUAGAUAAUGUGAUAUAGAUUCAAGGUUCACAAAGUAUGAAGGCAAAUACACUGGCAAUUAUUAAGGUAUGGUAUGUAUUUUAUUUGUUUUAUGUUAUUUCAAUUUGAUUGAAGCUAAGCAGUGUACAGUCACAAAUCUGCACAAUAACAAUAUAAGAGCUUAAAAACAGUAAUAGCUUUUUACAGUAAGCACAAAAUAAAAACAUCAGUGUACAA